Molecule: ribosomal RNA, 600 nt
Filed under: uncultured Actinomycetes bacterium
Lineage: Bacteria; Bacillati; Actinomycetota; Actinomycetes
Description: bacterial SSU rRNA
Rfam family: Bacterial small subunit ribosomal RNA
Source: RNAcentral
GAGAGGUAACGGCUCACCAAGGCAUCGACGGGUAGCUGGUCUGAGAGGAUGAUCAGCCACACUGGAACUGAGACACGGUCCAGACUCCUACGGGAGGCAGCAGUGGGGAAUCUUGCACAAUGGGCGCAAGCCUGAUGCAGCGAUGCCGCGUGCGGGAAGAAGGCCUUAGGGUUGUAAACCGCUUUCAGGAGGGAAGAAAAUGACGGUACCUCCAGAAGAAGGUGCGGCCAACUACGCGCCAGCAGCCGCGGUGACACGUAGGCACCAAGCGUUAUCCGGAUUUAUUGGGCGUAAAGAGCUCGUAGGCGGUUUGGUAAGUCGGGUGUGAAAACUCUGGGCUCAACCCAGAGAGGCCACUCGAUACUGCUAUGACUAGAGUACGGUAGGGGAGCGGGGAAUUCCUGGUGUAGCGGUGAAAUGCGCAGAUAUCAGGAGGAACACCAGCGGCGAAGGCGCCGCUCUGGGCCGUAACUGACGCUGAGGAGCGAAAGCAUGGGUAGCAAACAGGAUUAGAUACCCUGGUAGUCCAUGCCGUAAACGUUGGGCACUAGGUGUGGGUCUCAACCAACGAGAUCCGCGCCGUCGCUAACGCAUUAAGUG